This 1284-nucleotide long non-coding RNA is filed under the name Helianthus annuus (common sunflower). RNAcentral's name for it is "hypothetical non coding rna". Lineage: Eukaryota; Viridiplantae; Streptophyta; Magnoliopsida; Asterales; Asteraceae. The record is from RNAcentral.
GCUUCCGUUUACAAGAGAGAGGGGGGAGACAUACAUAGCAAACCCUAGCUCCGCCCUUCUACCGCUUCGACGCCGCGCUGGUGUCACAGUCACCAUCAACGUCUUAACCCCAACAGUGGCAACGGCAAGAAGGGAUUUGAGGGUUUAGAACUGAUUUGAGGGAUUUGAGGGUUCAGCACAGAUUUGAGGGAUUUGAGGUUCCGCAAAAAGAAGCGAAAGGAAGAGAGAGAGAGAGUGGAAUCGGAAUUGGUUUUCCGGUGUAUAGGGUUUGGAUUAUGUGCUAAAGACUGAGCUUUGCCAUCUCAAUUCUCAAAGACCAGAUCUUGCUGAUCAAACUGGAACUUGGCGCUAUGUUUUAAGUAUCUGGAUACUUCAUGGGUCAGCAAGGAGCUUGGGGGUGUCUCAAGUACAUCCCUCAUUGCUCAUCAUAGCUUUGUUGAUGGCCUACCGUUUACGCUACAAAGGCUAUCUGAGGUGAAUGUGCUAUUAUUUGUUAAUCGUUGUGUGAUUCAUCUUUUUUUUUUCCUUAAACCACAUGCUACCUUUUAAUUUGGUGUAAAUUCUUGUAUUUAAUUUGGCAUGGACGUGGAAGCCACCGAGAAACCAUCAGAAUCAAGUCCCAUGACAACAGUUAAUGCAUCUAACCUUGAGCUUGAUACUGUAUAAAAAAAAACCAAAAGCUUUCGCUAACCAGGAAAUCGCAGAGAGCAGCUAGUGGGCUUUAGUUGUUUGGAGCUUAUGAGUGACGACGGUGGUUGAAUAGUCCAGGAAAUCACCGAAAAUCGCAGAGAGUUGGUGGGUUUUAGUUUUGGGCCAGAAUGGAAACUUUGUCGCUAAAGGGUUAGUCGCGAAAGGUCCAGUUUCAUGUUGCGGUAGAUGGGACUGUAACUUGAAGCAGAGAUGGUCAUAACAAAAAAUCCAUCUUUUCCUAGCAACCAGUAAUGGCAUGAUUGCAAGACGGUGAUGGUUAGGGUUGGGGUUUAAGUUUCGGUGAUGAUCCAGAGAUGAUCUAGACUUCAAGUAAUUAAGAAUUUGCAAUUUAUUUCUUGUUUUGUGACCGAAGAGAGGGUAAUGGUUGGGGUUUCAGUUCCGGCGACGGUGGGCUAGGGUUCUGGAAAUGAAGGUGGAGGGUAGGAAAGAAGAUGAUGGACGGCCCAAUGAUGUAUUUAAUUAAAAAGAAAUCAAUGAGAGAUGGACAACACAUACUCUGUUUUUCUAUAUAUUACAAUAAUACAUAAAUAAAUAUAUAAAUUGUAUUGAUGAAAUGGGAAAAGACAUUAAUAC